RNAcentral lists this microRNA (24 nucleotides) under Bombyx mori (domestic silkworm). RNAcentral describes it as "bmo-miR-3206". Lineage: Eukaryota; Metazoa; Arthropoda; Insecta; Lepidoptera; Bombycidae. The record is from miRBase by way of RNAcentral.
UAUCCAUCAGUUUGUAGGUAAAAU